This 433-nucleotide ribosomal RNA is filed under the name uncultured bacterium. RNAcentral describes it as "partial 16S ribosomal RNA". It matches the Rfam family "Bacterial small subunit ribosomal RNA", at positions 29 to 507 of the family's 1533-position model. The record is from RNAcentral.
AACGAACGCUGGCGGCAUGCCUAACACAUGCAAGUCGAACGAGACCUUCGGGUCUAGUGGCGCACGGGUGCGUAACGCGUGGGAACCUGCCCUUAGGUUCGGAAUAACUCCCCGAAAGGGGUGCUAAUACCGGAUAAUGUCUUCGGACCAACGAUUUAUCGCCUUUGGAUGGGCCCGCGUUGGAUUAGCUAGUUGGUAGGGUAAAAGCCUACCAAGGCGACGAUCCAUAGCUGGUCUGAGAGGAUGAUCAGCCACACUGGGACUGAGACACGGCCCAGACUCCUACGGGAAGCAGCAGUGGGGAAUAUUGGACAAUGGGCGAAAGCCUGAUCCAGCAAUGCCGCGUGAGUGAUGAAGGCCUUAGGGUUGUAAAGCUCUUUUACCCGGGAUGAUAAUGACAGUACCGGGAGAAUAAGCUCCGGCUAACUCCGUG